CCCAUGCUUCCAGGAAAAGCCACUAAGCUUCAGUUGAAUGAAGACCGUACCGUAAACCGACACAGGUGGGUAGGAUGAGAAUUCUAAGGCGCUUGAGAGAACUCAGGAGAAGGAACUCGGCAAAAUAGCACCGUAACUUCGGGAAAAGGUGUGCCCUUUGUAUGUGUAGCGCCUCGCGCGUGAAGCAGAAUAGGGUUGCAAUGAAAUGGUGGCUGCGACUGUUUAAUAAAAACAUAGCACUCUGCAAACACGAAAGUGGACGUAUAGAGUGUGACGCCUGCCCGGUGCCGGAAGGUUAAAUGAUGGGGUGCAAGCUCUUGAUUGAAGCCCCGGUAAACGGCGGCCGUAACGAUAACGGUCCUAAGGUAGCGAAAUUCCUUGUCGGGUAAGUUCCGACCUGCACGAAUGGCGUAACGAUGGCCACACUGUCUCCUCCUGGGACUCAGCGAAGUUGAAAUGUUUGUGAAGAUGCAAUCUCCCCGCGGCUAGACGGAAGGACCCCGUGCACCUUUACUGUAGCUUUACAUUGGACUUUGAUAACAUUUGUGUAGGAUAGGUGGGAGGCUUUGAAGUGGAUUCGCCAGAAUUCAUGGAGCCAACGUUGAAAUACCACCCUGAUGUUGUUGAGGUUCUAACCUAGAUCCAUUAUCUGGAUUGGGGACCGUGUAUGGUAGGCAGUUUGACUGGGGCGGUCUCCUCCCAAAUUGUAACGGAGGAGUACGAAGGUACGCUAGGUACGGUCGGAAAUCGUGCUGAUAGUGCAAUGGCAAAAGCGUGCUUGACUGCGAGACUGACAAGUCGAGCAGAUGCGAAAGCAGGUCAUAGUGAUCCGGUGGUUCUGUAUGGAAGGGCCAUCGCUCAACGGAUAAAAGGUACGCCGGGGAUAACAGGCUGAUUCCUCCCAAGAGUUCAUAUCGACGGGGGAGUUUGGCACCUCGAUGUCGGCUCAUCACAUCCUGGGGCUGUAGCCGGUCCCAAGGGUAUGGCUGUUCGCCAUUUAAAGUGGUACGUGAGCUGGGUUUAAAACGUCGUGAGACAGUUUGGUCCCUAUCUGCCGUGGGCGUUGGAAGUUUGAGUGGACCUGCUCCUAGUACGAGAGGACCGGAGUGGACGCACCUCUGGUGUACCGGUUAUGACGCCAGUCGUAUCGCCGGGUAGCUAUGUGCGGAAGAGAUAACCGCUGAAGGCAUCUAAGCGGGAAACUCUCCUCUAGAUGAGACUUCCCGAGGGUUUAACCCUCCUAAAGGUUCGUCGAAGACUACGACGUUGAUAGGUCGGGUGUGGAAGCAUAGUGAUAUGUUAAGCUAACCGAUACUAAUUGACCGUGAAGCUUGAUCCU
RNAcentral lists this ribosomal RNA (1339 nucleotides) under metagenome. RNAcentral describes it as "bacterial LSU rRNA". It matches the Rfam family "Bacterial large subunit ribosomal RNA", at positions 1599 to 2925 of the family's 2925-position model. The record is from RNAcentral.